Molecule: long non-coding RNA, 1304 nt
Filed under: Anas platyrhynchos (mallard)
Lineage: Eukaryota; Metazoa; Chordata; Aves; Anseriformes; Anatidae
Description: lncRNA (ENSAPLG00020012413.1)
Source: RNAcentral
AGAUGCUACAGCACCUGCCUACUCAACCCGUGGUGUUCCCCCGAUGUUUCCAGUCCUGGCUUCUGUGUUGGAAUGGACUUCCUGGCCUUGGGCCCUCAGUUGGGAUAAAGAUGAAGAGUUUCUGGGAAAAGUGCUUAUGGCAGCCAAAGACUUCACAGAUGGACGGCUGCGAAGAGCUGGGCUCCCAAACACCCUAACAAGCUCACAACAAAUUUCUGCUGAGGUUUGGUUUCACCUGCUCGUGCAGACUUCCCACCUUGUAUGUCCCUAGCUGCAGAUGCAGAGCUUCGAAACAAAGUUUGGCCAGCUGUCAGUCACUUCUCUUGGUGCACAACUGGAAGGCACUGGGAUGCUACACUGGUGAGUGCAGUGAAAGGGAGCUCAGUGGUGUGUUCAUACGGCUUUUAUUGGGUUGAGAUGUUUGUCAGUGUAACAAAAGCUGUUCCUUGGCUUCAGUACCGGGGGUAUCUUGUUUGUGAUGCUGUGAUACUCGAAACAAAGACUUUGUGUGCAUGCUCUGCUUUCCUAGAAGCUAACAGCAGCUCCCAGCGGCAGGCUGCCUGGCUGUUGUGUACAUGGAUGCUCUCCAGCGCUAAUGUCACCAGACUAUCAAGUCAAAACACGCUGGUGCGCACGUGGCAUCUUUAUUUACCAGUCUGAGCCCAGCCAUUUCCACUGGGGAGGCACCGUGCUGACAGAAGAACUUGUUUUCUGGCAGCUGAUGAGACGAUCCUGCCCACACGUGCCAGUCCUUCUUCCAGAUGUCUGUAAACCAGCUUUUGGGGACACCUGAUGAAACUUGAUGGUUUGCUCCUGCUCUACAGUGCCAGGUGGAUUUGAACAGUGGUAUGUACUGAAUAUUCCAGCUUCCAAACCUCAGAAGAGACAUGGGGCACCUGGUGCUGGGAUGGCAAUCAGAGGAAGCACGGGGAUGGGAACAGAGCUCACUCCCCUUGGUUAUCCACUGUGACCUACAUGGCACAACAAAAAAACUGUUUCCUUCCAUCUCUUCCAGAAGCAUGUUUCCAUCUAAUGCAAGAGAAGCUGUGCCCACACGAUGGGCAGGACCACAGCAGGAGCUUGCUGCAGGGCUUCGCAGCCUUCCCCUGAGCAGAAAAGCCCGCAGCUGGCUCCCACCUCAGCCAGAAGCAACAUCUCAGCAUCCCCGUUUCUUCGUGUCACCCCACGUGAGCUGCUACAGGGACAGCAGACAGAGCUGCCCGGUUGCAGGAGUGCUGUGGGCAGCCAGAGGCCAGCGUUUCACGAUGAGAAGCGGGACCAGCUUUCAGCUUCCUCGUCUCUAG